This 256-nucleotide ribosomal RNA is filed under the name uncultured bacterium. RNAcentral describes it as "partial 16S ribosomal RNA". It matches the Rfam family "Bacterial small subunit ribosomal RNA", at positions 524 to 776 of the family's 1533-position model. The record is from RNAcentral.
UACGAAGGGGGCUAGCGUUGUUCGGAAUUACUGGGCGUAAAGCGCGCGCAGGCGGCCAUUCAAGUCAGUGGUGAAAGCCCGGAGCUCAACUCCGGAACUGCCAUUGAAACUGUUUAGCUUGAGGACGAGAGAGGUGAGUGGAAUUCCCAGUGUAGAGGUGAAAUUCGUAGAUAUCAAGCGGAACACCGGUGGCGAAGGCGGCCUUCUGGACAGUGACUGACGCUGGAGAACGCGAAAGCGUGGGGGAGCAAACAGG